Molecule: long non-coding RNA, 208 nt
Organism: Bactrocera dorsalis (oriental fruit fly)
Lineage: Eukaryota; Metazoa; Arthropoda; Insecta; Diptera; Tephritidae
Exons: 2
Source: RefSeq, a predicted model, not a curated record
AAUCGUGGCCGACGCUCGCUCAAAGACGAAUUCCAUGAAGGUCGUCCAAAAACAGCCGUUGUGCCAGAAAACAUCGAUGCCGUACGUGAACUGAUAAUGCAAGACCGUCAUGUAACAUACCUUCAGAUAGAGGCAUGCCUAUGCAUUUCUCCCACCAGCAUACAUUCGAUAUUGCAUGAACACCUGGCCGUAAAAAAGGUUUGUUCUC